Molecule: small RNA, 257 nt
Filed under: Bos taurus (domestic cattle)
Lineage: Eukaryota; Metazoa; Chordata; Mammalia; Artiodactyla; Bovidae
Source: RNAcentral
GCGGAAUUCGUGAGACCCUUUCUCUGCCUGAAUGCUUGGCUCAAUCUGUUUUUCUCCAAGCUCGCCUUACAUUUCUGAUGCCGAAACCCGAAAGCCAGGAGGGAAGACCCACUGCAGCUAGGAAAGCUGCUCUCUGAAGCCCACCUCUGGAGGUUUCCUCCCUUGGACCUUGACAAGAAACUGGAAUCAGGCCCCAGGGCAGGACUCUCCAGUUGCCUUGCUGGACUGACAACAACUUUUCUCUGGGUUUGAUGAUG